CCCUCCUCUGCUGUUUUAUUGACUGGGGAAGAGGAUUUGGAUCCAGCCCAGCAGAAGGGCUGGCUGCCGUGGUGGGAUUGCUGCUCCUUGGACCGUGGUGGGCUGCGUGAGGAGCAGGUGUGGAUGGGUCUCAGUUACGGUGCUACGAGGGGCUGCGCUGCCCCCGGGGGAGCUGGAGCCAUCCCAGGAGGAAGAGGAUGGACGUCCUGCCACGGGUGUGCGCCAGGCUGCUCCUCCUGUCCCUGCUCUGUGCCACCAGCCUCUGCCAAAGGAGCAAAAAUAACCGCUGCGUGCUGUCCCGGGCAAAGAGCUGCACCGAGUGCAUCCGAGUAGACAAGGACUGCUCCUUCUGCACCGAUGAGGUGAGAACCUUGCAGGGGAGACCAGUGCUCUACUUCCCACCCUGAUGAUGGAGGGAUCAUAAAAUGGUUAGAGUUGGAAGGGACCUUAUAGAUCAUCUAGUUC
Molecule: long non-coding RNA, 465 nt
Filed under: Calidris pugnax (ruff)
Lineage: Eukaryota; Metazoa; Chordata; Aves; Charadriiformes; Scolopacidae
Description: lncRNA (ENSCPUG00000002719.1)
Source: RNAcentral